RNAcentral lists this long non-coding RNA (320 nucleotides) under Brachypodium distachyon (stiff brome). RNAcentral describes it as "long non-coding RNA (BDIS_LNC002076)". The record is from RNAcentral. Lineage: Eukaryota; Viridiplantae; Streptophyta; Magnoliopsida; Poales; Poaceae.
CAUCCUACAUCAAGAUGCUCCAACAACUGAGUCGGAGAAGGGUCAGCAAAGUAAGGAUCAGUAGAUGAUGAUUUACAAAAUACAACACCAGGAUUUGGAAAUAUGAGUUCUAAUGUUGACAACCAAAAAUCCACAACAAUCUUAAUUUGUUCUCUGAAGUAGAAUUAGGGUAACCGGGGCUUUUUUAAUUUGCGGAUUGGAGUCGUGGGAGAGGGAGAGAAAGAGAACUGAAGAAUUCCCUCGCAGGGGAGGAGCGAGCAGAUUUUUUAUUUUUUUUAGAACAACGAUCUGGCUUUAUUUAUUCAACGAAAGUACAUCAG